UGAAUACGAGAUGCUACGGCGUCGAAGCAGUCUAUGUCAUACUUCCAAGAAAAGCUUGCACUGUCAUAAACAAAUAAUGCCUGUACCAUAACCGACACAGGUGGGUAGGUAGAGUAUACUAAGGGGCGCGAGAUAACUCUCUCUAAGGAACUCGGCAAAAUGACUCCGUAACUUCGGGAGAAGGAGUGCCUUAUUUUAUAAGGUUGCAAUAACAAGAUCCGAGCAACUGUUUACCAAAAACACAGGUCUCCGCUAAGUCGUAAGACGAUGUAUGGGGGCUGACGCCUGCCCAGUGCCAGAAGGUUAAAGAAGUUGGUUAGCAUCCGCGAAGCUGAUAACUGAAGCCCUGGUGAACGGCGGCCGUAACAAUAACGGUCCUAAGGUAGCGAAAUUCCUUGUCGGGUAAGUUCCGACCCGCACGAAAGGCGUAAUGAUUUGGAUACUGUCUCAGAGAGGGGCUCGGUGAAAUAGACUUGUCUGUGAAGAUGCGGACUACCUGCACCAGGACAGAAAGACCCUAUGAAGCUUUACUGUAACUUGAAAUUGAAAUUGGACUUUACUUGCGCAGUAUAGGUGGGAGGCGUUGAGAAUAUUCUUGCGGGAAUGUUGGAGCCAUCAGUGAGAUACCACUCUUGUAAUGUUAGAUUUCUAACUUUGUAUCAUUAUCUGGUCAAAGGACAGUUUCAGGCGGGCAGUUUGACUGGGGCGGUCGCCUCCCAAACGGUAACGGAGGCGCACAAAGGUUUCCUCUGAACGGGUAGAAAUCGUAUCUAGAGUGUAAAGGCAUAAGGAAGCUUGACUGUGAGACCUACAAGUCGAGCAGGGAUGAAAGUCGGUCUUAGUGAUCUGACGGUGCUGAGUGGAAAGGCCGUCACUCAACGGAUAAAAGUUACUCUAGGAUAACAGGCUGAUCUCCCCCAAGAGUUCACAUCGACGGGGAGGUUUGGCACCUCGAUGUCGGCUCAUCGCAUCCUGGGGCGGUAGUACGUCCCAAGGGUUGGGCUGUUCGCCCAUGAAAGCGGUACGCGAGCUGGGUUCAGAACGUCUGAGACAGUUCGGUCCAUAUCCGGUGUAGGCGUUAGAAUAUUGAGAGGAGCCUUCUUUAGUACGAGAGGACCGAGAAGGACAUACCUCUGGUGUACCAGUUAUCGUGCCAACGGUAAACGCUGGGUAGCUAUGUAUGGAGUGGAUAACCGCUGAAAGCAUCUAAGUGGGAAGCCCACCUCAAGAUAAG
This 1234-nucleotide ribosomal RNA is filed under the name metagenome. RNAcentral describes it as "bacterial LSU rRNA". It matches the Rfam family "Bacterial large subunit ribosomal RNA", at positions 1564 to 2808 of the family's 2925-position model. The record is from RNAcentral.